RNAcentral lists this ribosomal RNA (1437 nucleotides) under uncultured organism. RNAcentral's name for it is "SSU rRNA". It matches the Rfam family "Bacterial small subunit ribosomal RNA". The record is from RNAcentral.
ACGCUAGCUACAGGCUUAACACAUGCAAGUCGAGGGGCAUCAGGAAGAAAGCUUGCUUUCUUUGCUGGCGACCGGCGCACGGGUGAGUAACACGUAUCCAACCUGCCCUUUACUCGGGGAUAGCCUUUCGAAAGAAAGAUUAAUACCCGAUGGCAUAAUGAUUCCGCAUGGUUUCAUUAUUAAAGGAUUCCGGUAAAGGAUGGGGAUGCGUUCCAUUAGGUUGUUGGUGAGGUAACGGCUCACCAAGCCUUCGAUGGAUAGGGGUUCUGAGAGGAAGGUCCCCCACAUUGGAACUGAGACACGGUCCAAACUCCUACGGGAGGCAGCAGUGAGGAAUAUUGGUCAAUGGGCGCUAGCCUGAACCAGCCAAGUAGCGUGAAGGAUGAAGGCUCUAUGGGUCGUAAACUUCUUUUAUAUAAGAAUAAAGUGCAGUAUGUAUACUGUUUUGUAUGUAUUAUAUGAAUAAGGAUCGGCUAACUCCGUGCCAGCAGCCGCGGUAAUACGGAGGAUCCGAGCGUUAUCCGGAUUUAUUGGGUUUAAAGGGAGCGUAGGUGGACUGGUAAGUCAGUUGUGAAAGUUUGCGGCUCAACCGUAAAAUUGCAGUUGAUACUGUCAGUCUUGAGUACAGUAGAGGUGGGCGGAAUUCGUGGUGUAGCGGUGAAAUGCUUAGAUAUCACGAAGAACUCCGAUUGCGAAGGCAGCUCACUGGACUGCAACUGACACUGAUGCUCGAAAGUGUGGGUAUCAAACAGGAUUAGAUACCCUGGUAGUCCACACAGUAAACGAUGAAUACUCGCUGUUUGCGAUAUACAGUAAGCGGCCAAGCGAAAGCAUUAAGUAUUCCACCUGGGGAGUACGCCGGCAACGGUGAAACUCAAAGGAAUUGACGGGGGCCCGCACAAGCGGAGGAACAUGUGGUUUAAUUCGAUGAUACGCGAGGAACCUUACCCGGGCUUAAAUUGCAGUGGAAUGAUGUGGAAACAUGUCAGUGAGCAAUCACCGCUGUGAAGGUGCUGCAUGGUUGUCGUCAGCUCGUGCCGUGAGGUGUCGGCUUAAGUGCCAUAACGAGCGCAACCCUUAUCUUUAGUUACUAACAGGUUAUGCUGAGGACUCUAGAGAGACUGCCGUCGUAAGAUGUGAGGAAGGUGGGGAUGACGUCAAAUCAGCACGGCCCUUACGUCCGGGGCUACACACGUGUUACAAUGGGGGGUACAGAAGGCAGCUAGCGGGUGACCGUAUGCUAAUCCCAAAAUCCUCUCUCAGUUCGGAUCGAAGUCUGCAACCCGACUUCGUGAAGCUGGAUUCGCUAGUAAUCGCGCAUCAGCCACGGCGCGGUGAAUACGUUCCCGGGCCUUGUACACACCGCCCGUCAAGCCAUGGGAGCCGGGGGUACCUGAAGUACGUAACCGCAAGGAUCGUCCUAGGGUAAAACUGGUA